This 308-nucleotide ribosomal RNA is filed under the name uncultured eukaryote. Its description in RNAcentral is "SSU rRNA". It matches the Rfam family "Eukaryotic small subunit ribosomal RNA", at positions 111 to 414 of the family's 1831-position model. The record is from RNAcentral.
AAUAAUUUAUUUGAUGGUUUUUUACUACAUGGAUAACUGUAGUAAUUCUAGAGCUAAUACAUGCGUAAAAUCCCGACUCUCGCGGGGAGGGAUGUAUUUAUUAGAUAAAAAACCAAUGCGGCCUUUGGCCGGUUUUGUGGUGAAUCAUAGUAACUUUUCGAAUCGCAUGGCUUCACGCCGGCGAUAGUUCAUUCAAAUUUCUGCCCUAUCAGCUUUCGACGGUAGUGUAGUGGACUACCGUGGCGUUAACGGGUAACGGAGAAUUAGGGUUCGAUUCCGGAGAGGGAGCCUGAGAAACGGCUACCACA